CAUUAGACAGAUAUUAGGGGAACAAUUGGGAGUAUUGGGCCAGGCUGGCCGCUAGCGCUCUUCACUACGAUCAACGAGGAAGCCUUCUCUGGAGGACGAGAUCUGGGAGUUUAUCCUCAAACGCAGAAUAACAGCAUGCUGUGUCAGCAGUCUGGUCUGAAACAUGUCAUGAAUCAGAGGGGACGGAGAUGUUGUCCAACCUAUAGAAGGAAAACAGAGAGGGAGAAAAUGAAAGAGAAAGAGAGGGCAUCGUGCAAACUGACA
This is a long non-coding RNA of Sinocyclocheilus grahami, 264 nucleotides long. RefSeq lists it as uncharacterized. The transcript has 3 exons. NCBI's taxonomy places the organism in Eukaryota, Metazoa, Chordata, Actinopteri, Cypriniformes, Cyprinidae. The record is from RefSeq and is a predicted model, not a curated record.